This 1391-nucleotide long non-coding RNA is filed under the name Gallus gallus (chicken). RNAcentral's name for it is "lncRNA (ENSGALG00010028839.1)". The record is from RNAcentral. Lineage: Eukaryota; Metazoa; Chordata; Aves; Galliformes; Phasianidae.
CCCCAUAACUCUAACCCUAACCCUGACCCCAUAACAGUAACCCUAACCCUGACCCCAUAACGCUAACCCUAACCCUGAUCCCAUAACGCUAACCCUAACCCUGACCCCAUAACUCUAACCCUAACCCUGACCCCAUAACUCUAACCCUAACCCUAACCCUAAUCCCUGUAGGAUUUUUCUCAGUGGGUUUUGGGUCUGUAGAAGUUUUCUCAAUGGGUUUCGGGUCCAGGAGGGUUUUCUCAAUGGGUUUUGUGUCCAUCGGAGUUUUCCCAAUGGGAUUUGGGCCCCGUGGGACUUUUCUCAAUGGGGUUUGGGUGUAUGGGAGAUUUCUCAAUGGGUUUUGGGCCCUUAGGAUUUUUCCCAAUAGGAUUUGGGUCUAUGGGAGUUUUCUCAAUGGGUUUCGGGUCCAUAGGAGUUCUCCCAAUGGGGUUUGGGCCCUGUGGGAAUUUGCUCAGUGGGUUUGGGGUCUGUAGGAUUUUUCUCAGUGGAUUUUGGCUCUGUAGAAGUUUUCUUUUUCAUUGAGUUUUGUGUCCGUAGGAGUUUUCCCAAUGGGUUUUGGGGUCUGUAGGAUUUUUCUCAGUGGAUUUUGGCUCUGUAGAAGUUUUCUUUUUCAAUGAGUUUUGGGUCUGUGGGAGUUUUCUCAAUGGGGUUUGGGGUCGAUGGGGGUUUUCUCCACGGAUUUUGUGUCCAUUGGAGUUUUCUCAAUGGGGUGUGGGCCCUGGGGGGGGGGCGGUUCUCAAUGGGUUUUGGGUCUAUAGGACUUUUUUUCAAUGGGUUUUGGAUCCAUGAGAGUUUUCCCAAUGGGUUUUGGGUCCAGAGGAAUUUUCCCGAUGGGGUUUGGGCCCCGCGGGAGUUUUCUCAGCGGCUUUUGUGUCUGUAGAAGGUUUUUUUUUUUUCAACGGGUUUUGGGUCCAUUGCAGUUUUCUCGAUGGGUUUUGGGCCCUACGGGAGUUUUCUCAAUGGGUUUUUGGGUCUAUGAGAGUUUUCUCAAUGGGGCUUUGGGCCCUCCGGGGGUUUCUCAAUGGCUUUCGGCCCGCAGAGGCUCCGGUUGGCGGCGGCUCCGAGCACCACCCGAGCAGCAGCGCGGCUCUCUCGGCCGGAAGGACGGCCCGCCGCUCCGGUUCGGUUCUGCCCCGCGGAGCGGUUGGGCCCGCCGGGUCCCGCGGCCGUCCGUCGCCGCGCUGUUUGUUUGCCCGUUGCCCGGAGCCGCGACCGUCCGCUGCGCUCCGCGCCUCUGCGGUUUCCCGUCCCCCGAAAGCGGUUAUUUGGGAUUUGAGUUUUUGUCGCUUUUCUUUUCCUGUUGUUAUCGGGGAGAUCCCAACCUCCGCUCGCGCUGACGCGGAGCUGACGGCAGCGCUACGAAUCGGGAAAGGGGGGGGGGGAGGGGGGGG